This 337-nucleotide unclassified non-coding RNA is filed under the name soil metagenome. RNAcentral's name for it is "partial contains 5.8S ribosomal RNA, internal transcribed spacer 2, and large subunit ribosomal RNA". The stretch from base 1 to 120 matches the Rfam family "5.8S ribosomal RNA", at positions 35 to 154 of the family's 154-position model. The record is from RNAcentral.
GAUGAAGAACGUAGUGAAAUGCGAUAAGUAAUGUGAAUUGCAGAAUUCAGUGAAUCAUCGAAUCUUUGAACGCACAUUGCGCCCGGUAGUAUUCUGCCGGGCAUGCCUGUUCGAGCGUCAUUUCAACCAUCAAGCCCCAGCGCUUGUGUUGGGGGCCUGCGGCUGCCGCAGCCCCCUAAAAGCAGUGGCGGGCUCGCUAUCACACCGAGUGCAGUAGUUCAUCUUCUCUCCGGUCUUGUGAGGCGGGUUCCGGCCGUGAAACACCCCACUACAUUCAAGGUUGACCUCGGAUCAGGUAGGAAUACCCGCUGAACUUAAGCAUAUCAUAAGCGGAGGA